RNAcentral lists this ribosomal RNA (513 nucleotides) under uncultured bacterium. Its description in RNAcentral is "partial 16S ribosomal RNA". It matches the Rfam family "Bacterial small subunit ribosomal RNA", at positions 28 to 523 of the family's 1533-position model. The record is from RNAcentral.
GACGAACGCUGGCGGCAUGCCUAAUACAUGCAAGUCGAGCGAACAGAUGAAAUGCUUGCACUUCUGACGUUAGCGGCGAACGGGUGAGUAACACGUAAGGAACCUACCUAUAAGCGGGGGAUAACAUUCGGAAACGGGUGCUAAUACCGCAUAAUAUCUUCUUCCGCAUGGAAGAAGAUUGAAAGACGGCUCUGCUGUCACUUAUAGAUGACCUUGCGGUGCAUUAGUUAGUUGGUGGGGUAAUGGCCUACCAAGACGAUGAUGCAUAGCCGACCUGGGAGGGUGAUGCGCAACAUUGGGACUGAGAAACGGCCCAAACUCCUACGGGAGGCAGCAGUAGGGAAUCUUCCGCAAUGGGUGAAAGCCUGACGGAGCAAUGCCGCGUGAGUGAAGAAGGCCUUCGGGUCGUAAAACUCUGUUAUAAGAGAAGAACAAAUUGUUGAGUAACUGCUACAGUCUUGACGGUAUCUUAUCAGAAAGCCACGGCUAACUACGUGCCAGCCGCCGCCGUAA